This 401-nucleotide ribosomal RNA is filed under the name uncultured prokaryote. Its description in RNAcentral is "bacterial SSU rRNA". It matches the Rfam family "Bacterial small subunit ribosomal RNA", at positions 355 to 774 of the family's 1533-position model. The record is from RNAcentral.
UGGGGAAUAUUGCACAAUGGGCGAAAGCCUGAUGCAGCAACGCCGCGUGAGCGAUGAAGGCCUUCGGGUCGUAAAGCUCUGUCCUCAAGCAAGAUAAUGACGGUACUUGAGGAGGAAGCCCCGGCUAACUACGUGCCAGCAGCCGCGGUAAUACGUAGGGGGCUAGCGUUAUCCGGAAUUACUGGGCGUAAAGGGUGCGUAGGUGGUUUCUUAAGUCAGAGGUGAAAGGCUACGGCUCAACCGUAGUAAGCCUUUGAAACUGGGAAACUUGAGUGCAGGAGAGGAGAGUGGAAUUCCUAGUGUAGCGGUGAAAUGCGUAGAUAUUAGGAAGAACACCAGUGGCGAAGGCGACUCUCUGGACUGUAACUGACGCUGAGGCUCGAAAGCGUGGGGAGCAAACA